GGGGACCUCCAGACAGUUCGCGUUGUUUUGGCCCUCUCUAAAGCCAAUUCCCCGGGGCUCAUUUUCUUAUCUGAAACUAGACAAGCCUCAAAUAAAAUGGAGCGACUUAAGUGGAGACUACAGAUGAAAGGUUUUGCACGAGUAUCAAGUCGGGGUCUUAGUGGAGGCCUUGCUCUUUACUGGGAUGAGAGUUUGCAAGUUACAGUUCUUGAUGCAUGUGCACGGUAUAUAGACGUGCGGAUAGUGGAUGCUGCGAAUGAUAAAUCUUGGAGGACAACCUUCGUGUAUGGCGAGCCGAGAGUGCAGAAUCGGCAUCGUACGUGGAGUGCUCUAUCUGAUCUUAGGGCAGUUUCUGUUGAACCGUGGUUAGUGUGUGGAGAUUUUAAUGGAGCUAUGUGGCAACAUGAGCACUUUUCUCAAUCAUAACGGUCUGAAAGUCUGUUAGCAUGUGAAUUGUGGGAUCUUGGUUUUAGUGGCGUUCUUUUCACAUACGAUAACGGCCAGUUUGGAGACAGGAACGUACGGGUCCGUCUUGACAUGGCUUGUGCGAACAAGGCAUGGAGGGACUUGUUCCCCCUCACGCAGGUGAUUCAUCUUGCUACUUCCUGCUUGGAUCAUGCGCCGGUACUAGUACGUGUAUCUUCAUCACCACCAAGAACUAGGCCGACAUCUCGAUAUGAGAUCAUGUGGGAGAGACAUCCGGGCCUCUCCUCGGUUGUGGCAGAACGCUGGGAGCGGAGCCGGCUAGUGGGAAACCUCGGUGCGGUCCGUGACGCACUGAAAGAGAUGAUGAACAAGCUGUGA
Molecule: ribosomal RNA, 804 nt
Filed under: Triticum aestivum (bread wheat)
Lineage: Eukaryota; Viridiplantae; Streptophyta; Magnoliopsida; Poales; Poaceae
Description: partial small subunit ribosomal RNA
Source: RNAcentral